Homo sapiens (human) is the source of this 599-nucleotide long non-coding RNA. Ensembl annotates it as long intergenic non-protein coding RNA 2828. The record is from Ensembl. NCBI's taxonomy places the organism in Eukaryota, Metazoa, Chordata, Mammalia, Primates, Hominidae.
GGAACUGCUAGCAAAUAGGACAGAAGCCAAGGAAGCCGAACAUUUGAGAUACGUGAAAUUCCGGUAAUAAGGGACAAAAUGGUUAAGCUCUUGAUUUGAGACUAAGGAUGGAGAUGGGGCCAUUUAGAAUGCCCAGAUUCAAGAGGCAAGUAGAAAGGAGAGUUGACGAAGGGUCCCGAGCAGGGACAGCUGGAAAAGCAGAGCUGGUGGAACUUGGAGAGCUGUGGCUUCCUGUGGUUGUUGAAGGUGACGGUCAUCUUGAUCCUGGCUGGGCAGUGCUGGAGCAGCUUCCCCACCUGGGGAUCUCACUGGCUAUCCUUCUCCUCAACUUGGAUGUUUAGUUGUCUUUUUAUUUCUUUGUUUAUUGUUGCUAUUGGCUUUGUUUGUGGGUUUAUUUCUUAUUUUGGGACUUUUAGCACAUAAAGUUGGAGAUAAUGAAUGGGAACAGAAUGGGAAAGAGUGGAUAUAAUGAUACACCACAUACCCAUCACCUACUUUCAAUAAUUACCUACACUUUCCCAGUCUUCUUCCAUGUAUUCCCCAUACUCUAUUGUCUAUUUUUCUGGAGAAUUUUGAAGUAAAUCUAAUAUAUCAUACCA